This 727-nucleotide ribosomal RNA is filed under the name uncultured bacterium. RNAcentral's name for it is "bacterial SSU rRNA". It matches the Rfam family "Bacterial small subunit ribosomal RNA", at positions 101 to 826 of the family's 1533-position model. The record is from RNAcentral.
AACGGGUGCGUAACACGUAUGCAACCUACCCUUCACAGGAGGACAGCCCCGAGAAAUCGGGAUUAAUACUCCAUAACAUCACGGAUUCGCAUGUUUCCGUGAUCAAAGUUCCGGCGGUGAAGGAUGGGCAUGCGGCCUAUUAGUUUGUUGGUGAGGUAACGGCUCACCAAGACUACGAUAGGUAGGGGGUCUGAGAGGAUGAUCCCCCACACUGGUACUGAGACACAGACCAGACUCCUACGGGAGGCAGCAGUGAGGAAUAUUGGUCAAUGGACGAAAGUCUGAACCAGCCAUGCCGCGUGCAGGAAGACUGCCCUACGGGUUGUAAACUGCUUUUAUGUGGGAAUAAACCCCUGGAUUCUUCCGGGGCUGAAGGUACCACACGAAUAAGGAUCGGCUAACUCCGUGCCAGCAGCCGCGGUAAUACGGAGGAUCCAAGCGUUAUCCGGAUUUAUUGGGUUUAAAGGGUCCGUAGGCGGGAUAUUAAGUCAGUGGUGAAAGCCUUCAGCUUAACUGGAGAAUUGCCAUUGAUACUGAUGUUCUUGAGUACACCUGAAGUGGGCGGAAUGUGUCAUGUAGCGGUGAAAUGCAUAGAUAUGACACAGAACACCGAUUGCGAAGGCAGCUCACUAAAGUGUAACUGACGCUGAGGGACGAAAGCGUGGGGAGCGAACAGGAUUAGAUACCCUGGUAGUCCACGCCGUAAACGAUGAUCACUCGAUAUUGG